UGGUCAGUAUUAAGUGAAAGCUAAUUGGUCCUAAUUGGCAAACAGCGGUCAGUGUUAAGCAAAAGCUAAUUGGUUGUAUCCCGGUGGCCUGAUAAUCUUACCAAGUAGGAAGGCCUACUCUCGCCUCACAAAACUAGUUCCUGAAGCUGAUGUUAAGGGGACUCUCUGUUCUGACGUAGAAAGGACACUUCGAGGUCAGCUAGAGAAUCCCCGAGGCCUCAUCUGGACCUCAUCCCCCACCUGAAAGUCAGCUAUCCUGGCGUGCGAGAUCCAGUCAGAGUCAAGGACCUGCCGGCAGCUCUGGCCCGGGAGAGAGCGAGGCAGAGUCUGCGGCCCCGGGCUGCAGUGGGGGCGAAGCCUCUGGAACGUGCACCCCGCAGAACCCUUCCUCACAGCCUGGUGGGGCAGGGCGUGUAUUCCCCACUCAGAGGGCGUCACCCACGACGCAGGGACCCUCCACUGAGGACCAAGCCCUCGGAACACAGCUUUUGCCUGUCACACUUGACACACGACUCAGGGGAAGCAGGGGUGGGAUUUGGAGCCGAGACCCCGAGCACAAAGCCUGUGUGUCCUCUGCACGAACUGCUCCAUCUCCAGAGAGAGAAGGAAACGCCCCGAGGGAAAGGGCCGUGAGUGAUACGGACCACGGCUUCUGGAAUGUCUGAGGGGCUCAGUCACGACCGGACCCUUUCGUCUCUAAGGCAGUGAGUCAGGAUGGUGCCCAGCGGCAGACCCCGCCCCCGCCAGAAGCCAGGCGGCGCCUGCAGCUCGGAGCCCCUCCCCUCGGGCAUUCUCCCGGCUCGCGGCCCGUGGGGGCGGGGCUGCCCGAGGGGCGGAAGCGGACGCGGAAGCGGUUCGACGUGGGCCGCUGCCGCCCGGGAGAGCUCAGAGCCGCGGAGGAUCCCGUGUUCCCCUGGGCGACGACAGAGGGGCCUCCAGCCCGGGACACUCCUGAGAGGAGAAGCCUGCAGGCAUACCCGCCCCCGGCGCCCGCCGGCUGCCCAGAAGCGGAUAUGCACGCCCGUCAGCCGGCGCUGGGGGCCGGAUGGGGCCCCGGAGCUGCAGACCCGUCCUGGGGGCCUGGACUCUCAUUUCAGCCCUGCACUGCCGGAAGUCUCCGUUUUUAUGUAAAAUACGUCUGAUUCUCCUCUCCCUCCUCCACCUGGGCCGGCCUUCGCUUAGCUCAGAUGUCACCUGCUGGACGUCGCCUUUCCCUGCCACCCUGGUCCAGGACCCUUGGCCGCUGUUCACUGAGGAGUCCCUAGCCCUACCUGGGAGUCUGGAGCUGCCGUGGCCAGCAGGACGGGUGUGGGGUGUUGACAGCGAACAGAGCAGGGACGGUGGCCUCGCGGUUCCCCUCAUCCAUGACAGGGGACCCCCGAGGGUCUGAAGGUGGAGGGUAAGUCAGCCCAGGAACCCAGAUGGCCCAAGAGGCCAGAAUACCCUCCUCCCUGGAGAUGCCUCCUGGUCUCUGGGAAUAGGUCGCAGAGUGAAGGAGCGAAUACAAGAGGAUCUGAAAGGCAAAUGAACAAGGGCCUCAUUUGGUGCACACAGGCGGGCAGCCAGGCGGUAAAUUAGCGCCUGCCAGAUGAGAAGCAACGGGGAGAAGAGAUAGAAGCCAGUGAGGGGUGCAGCGGCUCCUCUGAGGUCGGGCUUGUGAGCGCAGACCCCACACCAGCCUGGGCGCGGCCUCGGAGAAAGCCCUUGAUUAAGAAAGAGAACGAUAAACAGGAAGGCGCUUCUUUCCAUCAAAGGCCGAUUUCCCUCCGUGUUGGGUCACGGUUCAGCGACUCCAGCCUCGUGGGAGACAAUGAAGCAGCUGCCUGCCUCCAGAGGAGCAGCUAAAGAGCCCGGGCCAGGCGCUGUGGAAGGGAGGGGGUCUUCCUUAAACUGUAUGGCUUGUCUCAGAUCUUUACAGGAGUGAUGUUGCUUAUAUUACCUUGUGUAUUCUAUCGUCCGCCCGCGGUUCUUUGUCUCAUGGUUUUCCUGGCAUCAUAGCUGAAUGGGUUUACCAGUUCUCUGGAGCCUUGGGCCCCCUCCUGUGAUGUCCCUCAGAAGGUCCAGCCCUUUCCUCCCUCGCCACCCCUCCCCCUCCCACGCUCCCCCUCCCCCUCCCACGCGCCCUCCCCUCCCCCUCCCACGCUCCUCCCCUCCCCCUCCCCGCCCUCCCCUCCCACUUCCAUGCUGCCCCAGAGAAGACCAGCUCCUUGUGGAUCAGCCACCCCUGGAUGGGUGCCCUGCUGAGUGGAGACGCAUUGACCUCAUUGACGUCAGUGUGUUUAAUCUGCAAACUCGGUGCUGUUGGCCCUAUUUUCCAGAUGAUGAACCACAGGGGCAGAGGUUCGUUUAUUUCCCGGUGGCCUCAAGUCCUCGGCCGACCUGGGCUCUGCACCGGGGCUCCUCAGCUCCCCCCACAGAGGCCGCCGUCCCGGCGGGAGGCCACCCGGGGAUGGACGCCCGCCCCGGUCCACACCCAGCCGUGUCCCCCGAGCCGGAUGCGCUGACGCAUCGUGACUCCGGGCAUUCUGUGGCUGUGCUCAUUGGCCCUUCUGUUGAAGAUUUGUUUAAAUCUUUUAAAAAUGGGGCCAAAAUAACUGAAUUCCUUUUGUUGCAAAACUGACCUGGGCCAUGGGGAGGAGCAGGCAGGCGUCUGGGCAGAGAUGGCCUGCAGUGUUCUCAUUGCGGAUAGUGGACCACACUCCUGAACCCGCCCCCUGGUUUCAUUCUGACGACAGUCCUGCGGGUGAGAGGCGUGCUGCCUGUUCUGCAGACAAGGAAAAGGAGUGGUGCCCAGUGGGGGCUGGCAGACCGCAGGUGGCAGGGCAGGCUCCAGGGCGCCGCCCAGAAGGGCCAGCCUGUGGUCUUCACGCCUCAGUGUACCCUUGCUCGUUUACCGCACUCAUCUGUGCAGACUCACCAGACUGUGAAACUCUAAAAAAUCCUCUAUUCUGGCUGAUAAAGGUCUCACAGGCACAAAAUGUGUUCCUAACGCCCAGUUCGUUCUGUCUCUGCAUGAGUGGUCAUCUUGUUCAGACGCGCCAGGAGCAUUGUGAACUGCUCCGUACUCGGCAGAGGAGGCCUGAGAUAGUUGGGGAUAGGGGUCCAAUGGGGGCGCCAAGCAGUGAGUCAGCCCCCCACCUAUCACCCUCGAGGGAGACCAGUGACCAGGCCGCGGCGGCCGAGCCCGAGAGCCCCUCACGAGGUCAGAAGCUGAUGGCCACACGUUGAUUCUGGAUUGAUUCAGCGCGGCUGUCUCAUAGCCCCACACAGACAGGAUGUUUCUGAGAAGGGAAGAGUUCUGUUUGAUUUUGUGACUUUUUCUUUAUCAUCAUUGAGUCAACUCUGGCUAUAGCUCUGCUCUUUUAAGAACUCGGGGUGACGUCUAUAAAAUGGGAAUCGUCACAGUGCCGUUUUCAAAGCGUGACUUUGAGGAUGAGGUUUUGCCCGUAAUAAACCUGGCUCGCCUUCGAGAAGGGCUUCAUACAGUUGUGUCUCUUAUUUGACAGUUUUUUCAAUGAUCUGAUGCUGUGUAACCACCCCAAGACAUAAGGGC
Molecule: long non-coding RNA, 3553 nt
Organism: Cervus elaphus (red deer)
Lineage: Eukaryota; Metazoa; Chordata; Mammalia; Artiodactyla; Cervidae
Exons: 2
Source: RefSeq, a predicted model, not a curated record